This 369-nucleotide long non-coding RNA is filed under the name Selaginella moellendorffii. RNAcentral describes it as "long non-coding RNA (SMOE_LNC000082)". The record is from RNAcentral. Lineage: Eukaryota; Viridiplantae; Streptophyta; Lycopodiopsida; Selaginellales; Selaginellaceae.
CUUGUUCAUGGGCCCUUUCCCUCUAUAUUUGAACCCCAUGGAUCGUCUCUCAAGUCGUUCCCUUUGGUUGCUUACAAUCUACCACGCUUCCCUGCAAGUUCACGCCCUCGUGAACGGAAGCUGAGAGCUGCAGCUCUCCCGAGAGCCCCGCUCUCUUGACACCCUACCCCUCGGGUAGAGCCCAGUGGGAACAAACUGGACCAGCUAGAUGUCAAUCAACAUGUGGUGUGAUUCCCUUAGCCAACCAACAGAGUUGGACCCGAGACCUCUCUGAUACCAAAUGUAAGGUCCUGAGUCCAACCCAGUACUAUUCAAACCCAAGGACGCUUAACCCCAAAUAUCCCAAGACCCUUAACCGAUUGGAAAAGG